GGGAAGCACCGCGGCAGCCUAGCCUCAGGCCUGCCCAGACGGUGUUCAGGGUCAAGAUGACCACACUCCACCCGAGGACAAAAGCCCCACAGGAGCUCACUGUCCUGCAGGAGAGGAGCAGACACACGUCCAAGAAGAUGAUUGCAUCUUUUCAUGGCUCUUCUCUGAGAAAUGAAGCCACACCAUGAUACAGUCUUGAAGAGGAAGCCGGGAAUGGGAGAUGGCAACAAUCCCUGUCACGGGAACGCUGGCCUCUCUGGACAAGUCACUGGUUAGGCCCCCCUCCCCUUGUGCCCAUGGGGGUGGCAAAGUGCUGUAUCCUACCUGAGCUCUGGCCCCUGCUCUGUCCUCCCUCUUGCUCUGUCUCCCCUGUUUCUGUGGUGCCUAGAUGCAUCUAGGUCUAGCUGAAUGUCUUCAACAAAGAUCACUUUCCAGUCCAUCAGGGAGACACUUGAUGGACAUGCGCAUCACUAUUUUUUCUCUCUGCCAAUCUGUUUCUGCUUAAUUGGGCUGGUUGGAUGACCCUGGAGAGAUUGACUUCCAUAGCUGUCUCAGAUAAGCAAGCUACCUUGGUCUCCAUGUUCCACCUCAUCGGUUGGUGGAUUGCCUAGAAUGAGCGGUAGGCCACUGUGACCAGCCUAGUCUUCUAAGACAGGCAGUGUCACAUUUCAUCUGCACUUCCAGUCUCAUUAUUGAGAAACAUUCUCUCCUCUGCUCCUGGGUGGACUGACUCCCUGAAUCUUUUGGCCUCCUCCUGGAUCCAGGUGUUCUUUGAUUUUCCUUGGCAUUGAUGGAAAGGUCACUUGUGCCCCCCUUCCACCUGGCACAUGCCUGAACACCAUCUUGUGUUUCACCAUCACCCCAUAUGCCUUCAGUGACACACAUUCACACCAUCUGCUCUGGGAUACGCCAGUGCCACGCAUGUUGGAAUUGACUCCACUUCGGAAUCGCCCUUGUCCCUGUUUGCAUGUGUCCUGAAAAGAGGUGUCAGCUUGCAAGGGCCCCAGAGCUUUUACAAGUGGGACAGGCGACUGCUCUUUCAAAGGAGGAGGGAGGCAGAGGGCUCAUGGGUUAGUGAUUUUUCUGCUGACACCACACCUUGAGGCCCAUGUGAUCAUUGUGCCCUGCAAGGAGGCCCUUCUUUUCUCAGCAGAUGUGGUGAGCCCAUCCGUCUUCACCCGGAGGGGUCCAAAAUCGGAUCUUAAGAGGGGUCUUCAGAUGCCAGCAGGUGCCCUGAAGCUCUCCCUCCACCGGUGGAAGUCAGCUUAAGGAAGUCUUUGAGACA
This is a long non-coding RNA of Homo sapiens (human), 1285 nucleotides long. Ensembl annotates it as family with sequence similarity 182 member A. Its record names the gene FAM182A. NCBI's taxonomy places the organism in Eukaryota, Metazoa, Chordata, Mammalia, Primates, Hominidae. The record is from Ensembl.